UUUAUCGCCAUUAGAUGGGCCCGCGUAGGAUUAGCUAAGUUGGUGAGGUAAUGGCUCACCAAGGCAACGAUCCUUAAGCUGGUUUUGAGAGAAUGACCAGGCCACACUGGGACUGAGACACGGCCCAGACUCCUACGGGGAGGCAGCAGUGGGGAAUCUUGGACAAUGGGCGCAAGCCUGAUCCAGCCAUGCCGCGUGAGUGAAGAAGGCCUUCGGGUUGUAAAGCUCUUUCGGCCGGGAAGAAAUCGCAUGGGUGAAUACCCUGUGUGGAUGACGGUACCGGAACAAGAAGCACCGGCUAACUACGUG
RNAcentral lists this ribosomal RNA (309 nucleotides) under uncultured bacterium. RNAcentral describes it as "bacterial SSU rRNA". It matches the Rfam family "Bacterial small subunit ribosomal RNA", at positions 211 to 507 of the family's 1533-position model. The record is from RNAcentral.